AGGUGUCAGAACAAUAUAGCUGUGACAUCUGUCACCCCAUUGAUUGCUAGGUUGAUUUGAUUGAUCUGACUGGCCAGACAACGGGUGUCCCCUUCCUCCCUCACCUCUCCAUGUGCAUCCCUCAGGCUGCGUGCUCAGUCAAAGAGGAUGGCCUUCUCCAAAUAGAAGAAGACCAGUCUUUGGUCAAGGGUAUUCAAGUAGCUGCACUCCCCUGCUAGAACCUCCAAACAGGCUCUCAAAUGGUUAAAGCAUUUUCUUAAGUAAAUAUAAAGUUAAGUUUUUGUACACUU
RNAcentral lists this small nuclear RNA (290 nucleotides) under Jaculus jaculus (lesser Egyptian jerboa). Its description in RNAcentral is "7SK RNA (ENSJJAG00000005311.1)". It matches the Rfam family "7SK RNA", at positions 1 to 293 of the family's 331-position model. Rfam says of the family: 7SK was discovered as an abundant small nuclear RNA in the mid-70s but a possible function has only recently been suggested. Two independent studies have found that 7SK RNA binds the CDK9/cyclin T complex (known as elongation factor P-TEFb). The record is from RNAcentral. Lineage: Eukaryota; Metazoa; Chordata; Mammalia; Rodentia; Dipodidae.